UGAGCUCAGUGGACAACCAAGGUGCCGCCAGCAGUUGCUAGUUAGCAAACCUUGCCUUAUCUGGUAUCGUCAUAUUCAAACAUCGCUCAAUCAAUGUUGGGUUGAAUGACUCUGCCAAAAGGAGAUGGAUCACGAGCUGGAGAUCUUCAUCAGGGAGAGAAGGGCGAGGGUGGCUGAGGAUAAAGCCAGUUUGGAACAAGACCCUCCUGACAUGGAUUUAAAGAAGUGUGAAGCUGACCGUUGAGCGGCCCGACCAAGCAAAGAG
This is a long non-coding RNA of Notothenia coriiceps (black rockcod), 265 nucleotides long. RefSeq lists it as uncharacterized. NCBI's taxonomy places the organism in Eukaryota, Metazoa, Chordata, Actinopteri, Perciformes, Nototheniidae. The transcript is spliced from 3 exons. The record is from RefSeq and is a predicted model, not a curated record.